This 1630-nucleotide long non-coding RNA is filed under the name Ananas comosus (pineapple). Its description in RNAcentral is "long non-coding RNA (ACOM_LNC044835)". Lineage: Eukaryota; Viridiplantae; Streptophyta; Magnoliopsida; Poales; Bromeliaceae. The record is from RNAcentral.
GCAUGAAACCACGUCUCAUAUAGAAUGCUAAAUGCAACUAUGGGCCUAACAAGCUACUCUCUACUACAUAGAGGUCCAAAAUUUCGUCAUAUAUAACAUAGGCCUUUUAAGCAUUCUAAAAUUCACAAUAAAUACAUAUAACAAGAAUAUGCAUGCUUUUUCAUUUAACGAUACUUAAUUAAGCACAUAUGAGGAUUUCUCAUUGUGUGGCUAGGUCAAACCCACCGAACCGUCGCGUAGGGUCUCGCUUUGCCGAACAAAGUUGUCCCCGAGUCUCAAAAUACCCUAAAAGUGAUCAGCGAAGAGAUACGAGGGCAUUACGACCAUCAUACAAUAUCAAACAUUAACCUAGAAGCAAAAAGGGCCAAAAUUUACCUCAAGAGUAGAAAUCUCUUCCAAAGCUCCAAAAGAGAGCUAGAACCCUUCCAAUCCAAGCCCAAGGAAGGUUCUAAUCCAAUCAAUCUAGCCUCAAAAGCCCUAGAUCAAAAAGCCCCAAAAAUCAACCCUAAUACCCAUUCUAGGGUUCCAAAUAGUAAAACCUACCAAAUCAAGGGUUCAAGGGUAGAAUCCAAGUACUAACCUCCCAAGGUGCCUCCAAACAAGCUCCAAAUCUUCUAGGGUUGAACCGGUCUCUCACUGCGAAGACACGCUCGGGGACCGGUCUCGCCUGCCAGGGACCGGUUGCCUCAGGCUGCCUCAACACUGCUCACUGAGGGACCAGUCUCUGCUUCCAGGGACCGGUCCCCGAGAGUAAAAACUCUCAGGACUUACCCAGAAUUCCGAUUUUCGAACUUUUUAGGUCGGAAAACAUUCUACAACCCUCCACCAAGUGUGGAAAAGCUCGAAAUACAUCCAAACACUCGAACCUCGCAAUUUGCAAAGGUCCAAUGUGUUAAAGCCUCUAGGGAGCACAAAGCUCCCAUUUCCUAAACCAAAAUCCAAACCCUAGGCUCAUUUCUACCAAAAACUCACCUUAGCCCUAGCUCCUCCAAGUCCUUCUUGUAGGAGAGCUUGUAGAACCCUCCAAAGCCUCCAAAUCCUCCUCCUCUUCACUUCUUCUUCUUCUUCUCCAAGCCCUAGAGCAAGAGUUCUAGAGAGAGAAAGAGGAGAAAUGGGAGAGAAAGGUGAAAAUGGCUGUGGGAGAGAGGGGUGAGUCAUAUAUAGUGUUGUAACAAUUGCACUUAGGCCCCUCCACUUGUUUCCUCUUGAACUGCCCAGACUGGGCAUUUUUCGCCUUCGGGGACCGAUCUCCCCGACCAGGGACCGGUUCCUGAACGGGGGUUCUCCAGGACUUAGUCAAAUUUUCGAGUCUCUCAGCUGUUGCGCAGCGAGGGACCGGUCUUCCCGUCAGGGACCGGUCUCCCGAGGACCGGUCUCACCACCAGGGACCGGUUGCCUCAGGACUUCCUGGCAGGCUACGCGUACGGGGACCGGUCUCUCCUUCAGGGACCGGUCCCCGAGAGCACAAAAUCUGGGACUUAGCCAGAUUUUCAGAUUACUCUCUCGGGUCCCUUCUAGCUUCACUUAUGGACUCUAAUGUGCUUAGGGUCCACACAAACUCGUUCAAUUCCGCGUUCCGCUCAUUUUGACGGAACUCGGCACGAUUUACGAGGGAUGUGGUAUGUUACAC